GACGAACGCUGGCGGCGUGCUUAACACAUGCAAGUCGAACGGAAAGGCCUUUUCGGAGGUACUCGAGUGGCGCACGGGUGAGUAACACGUGGGUGAUCUGCCCUGCACUCUGGGAUAAGCCUGGGAAACUGGGUCUAAUACCGGAUAGGACCGCACUUUAGUGUGUGUGGUGGAAAGUUUUUUCGGUGUAGGAUGAGCCCGCGGCCUAUCAGCUUGUUGGUGGGGUAAUGGCCUACCAAGGCGGCGACGGGUAGCCGGACUGAGAGGUUGGUCGGCCACAUUGGGACUGAGAUACGGCCCAGACUCCUACGGGAGGCAGCAGUGGGGAAGAUUGCACAAUGGGCGCAAGCCUGAUGCAGCGACGCCGCGUGGGGGAUGACGGCCUUCGGGUUGUAAACUCCUUUCGCCAGGGACGAAGCGUUUUGUGACGGUACCUGGAGAAGAAGCACCGGCUAACUACGUG
This 463-nucleotide ribosomal RNA is filed under the name uncultured bacterium. RNAcentral's name for it is "partial 16S ribosomal RNA". It matches the Rfam family "Bacterial small subunit ribosomal RNA", at positions 28 to 507 of the family's 1533-position model. The record is from RNAcentral.